UAUUGCUUUGAAUUGGUGACCUUUA
Molecule: non-coding RNA, 25 nt
Filed under: Rattus norvegicus (Norway rat)
Lineage: Eukaryota; Metazoa; Chordata; Mammalia; Rodentia; Muridae
Source: RNAcentral